Molecule: ribosomal RNA, 253 nt
Filed under: uncultured bacterium
Lineage: Bacteria
Description: partial 16S ribosomal RNA
Rfam family: Bacterial small subunit ribosomal RNA
Source: RNAcentral
UACAGAGACUGCAAGCGUUAUUCGGAUUCACUGGGCGUAAAGGGUGCGCAGGCGGCCGUGUGUGUCAGGUGUGAAAGCCCGGAGCUUAACUCCGGAAUUGCGCCUGAAACUACAUGGCUAGAGCAUUGGAGAGGGUAGCGGAAUUCACGGUGUAGCAGUGAAAUGCGUAGAUAUCGUGAGGAACACCAGAGGCGAAGGCGGCUACCUGGACAAUUGCUGACGCUCAGGCACGAAAGCCAGGGGAGCAAACGGG